RNAcentral lists this ribosomal RNA (422 nucleotides) under uncultured bacterium. RNAcentral describes it as "bacterial SSU rRNA". It matches the Rfam family "Bacterial small subunit ribosomal RNA", at positions 355 to 774 of the family's 1533-position model. The record is from RNAcentral.
UAAGGAAUAUUGGUCAAUGGAGGCAACUCUGAACCAGCCAUGCCGCGUGAAGGAUUAAGGCCCUCUGGGUUGUAAACUUCUUUUAUAUUGGAAGAAAUGUUCUGAUUCUUCAGAGCUUGACGGUACCAUAGGAAUAAGCACCGGCUAACUCCGUGCCAGCAGCCGCGGUAAUACGGAGGGUGCAAGCGUUAUCCGGAUUCACUGGGUUUAAAGGGUGCGUAGGUGGGCAGAUAAGUCAGUGGUGAAAUCUUCCGGCUUAACCGGAAAAUUGCCGUUGAUACUAUUUGUCUUGAAUAUUGUGGAGGUAAGCGGAAUAUGUCAUGUAGCGGUGAAAUGCUUAGAUAUGACAUGGAACACCAAUUGCGAAGGCAGCUUACUACACAAUGAUUGACGCUGAUGCACGAAAGCGUGGGGAGCGAACA